ACCUGGCUGGCUCAGUUGGAGCAUGUGACUCUUGAUCUCAAGGUUGUGAGUUUGAGCCCCACGCUGGGUG
Molecule: transfer RNA, 70 nt
Filed under: Ailuropoda melanoleuca (giant panda)
Lineage: Eukaryota; Metazoa; Chordata; Mammalia; Carnivora; Ursidae
Rfam family: tRNA
About the family: Transfer RNA (tRNA) molecules are approximately 80 nucleotides in length. Their secondary structure includes four short double-helical elements and three loops (D, anti-codon, and T loops).
Source: Rfam by way of RNAcentral